Long non-coding RNA from Vidua chalybeata, 854 nucleotides. RefSeq lists it as uncharacterized. The transcript is spliced from 3 exons. The record is from RefSeq and is a predicted model, not a curated record. NCBI's taxonomy places the organism in Eukaryota, Metazoa, Chordata, Aves, Passeriformes, Viduidae.
GGGUUGCAGAGCCCGCCCUGCUGCACGGCCGGGGAGCCCUUCGGUGUGCUCGAUUUGUGUUUCUUUGGACUCACAAAAGUGUAUUUUCCUCGGAAUUUCUGCCACCAAAUCGCCCGGUUUCCCCGGUGAGGGGGGAGAAGAGCAGCCAGAAACGUGUUCGGAACCUAUGGAGGGACAAAGCGUCCUUGGACACAUCGUGCAUGCACAGCUGGUCCGCAAUCUGCCAUCUUCCUGGCUGUUGGCACCCCAGACACUGAUGUGACACACUUCCAGUUAGCAAGACUAGCACAGAAGGCCAGCACUGAGCAGCCAGGAGCAGGGAGCAGCAGACAUCCAGCUGUAUAGAGGAGGUAAGUAAAGAGAAACCUGAUGGGGUUUGGGUUUGCUCAAACUGCAAUGAGACAUGUACAAGGAAACUUAAUAACUGAAAUUACUCAAAGCUGUUGAGAAAAGGGCCUGGUGAUCAGUAAGGUGAAUGUUUGAGUAAUUCUAAUAUUAAUUGUCCAAAUCUAAGGCAUGGCCUUUUUAUUAAGGAAUUCGCUAGGAAAGAAAAAUAAGAAAGAAAGAAAAUAAAUAGAACCAUAAACAAAGUGGAGGAAAAAUUGCAAUCUCUUCUUGUUUUAUCAGUUCUUUAGGCCUUGGUGUGCUUGAGUACAUAGAAAGACUUUCAAGGGUUAUCAUUAUCAGCCACAUCGAUGGAUGAAGACAGGAAUUUUUGUUUGCAUUUGACACUAAUGAAAAAAAUGAUGAGUUCUUAAUCUUCAAGUCCGUUUGGGUUUAGAUUUUUAUUAUUUUCAUUUUACCACAUGUGCUUAUUGUCCCUACAUGGUGAAUGGUCUUAGCUUUGGUUUGUG